UACGUAGGGUGCAAGCGUUGUCCGGAAUUAUUGGGCGUAAAGAGCUUGUAGGCGGUUUGUCGCGUCUGCUGUGAAAUUUCGGGGCUCAACCCCGAACUUGCAGUGGGUACGGGCAGACUAGAGUGUGGUAGGGGAGACUGGAAUUCCUGGUGUAGCGGUGAAAUGCGCAGAUAUCAGGAGGAACACCGGUGGCGAAGGCGGUUCUCUGGGCCUUACCUGACGCUGAGGAGCGAAAGCAUGGGGAGCAAACAGG
This 253-nucleotide ribosomal RNA is filed under the name uncultured bacterium. RNAcentral describes it as "partial 16S ribosomal RNA". It matches the Rfam family "Bacterial small subunit ribosomal RNA", at positions 524 to 776 of the family's 1533-position model. The record is from RNAcentral.